UCCGAGUUGACCCCGGCAGUUUCCUAUGAGUCCCCACCAUUACGUGCUGGCAACAUAGGACGAGGGUUGCGCUCGUUGCGGGACUUAACCCAACAUCUCACGACAUGAGCUGACGACAGCCAUGCAGCACCUGUGUUCCCGCCAGCCGAACUGAAGGACCUCAUCUCUGAAAUCCGCGAUGAGGAUGUCAAACGCUGGUAAGGUUCUGCGCGUUGCUUCGAAUUAAACCACAUGCUCCACCGCUUGUGCAGGCCCCCGUCAAUUUCUUUGAGUUUUAACCUUGCGGCCGUACUCCCCAGGCGGUCGACUUCACGCGUUAGCUUCGUUACUGAGAGUGUCAAACCCCCAACAACCAGUCGACAUCGUUUAGGGCGUGGACUAC
RNAcentral lists this unclassified non-coding RNA (382 nucleotides) under uncultured Pseudomonadota bacterium. RNAcentral's name for it is "uncultured proteobacterium contains 16S-23S intergenic spacer region". The record is from RNAcentral. Lineage: Bacteria; Pseudomonadati; Pseudomonadota.